AGAUGUGAGGACAAUCUGGCUGUGUGACUGUCACCUCCCGGAUCUCCUGGGUAAAUCCAGCUGAGGUGACUGGCUAGGCAGGUAUGCCCUUCCUCCCUCAUGCUUCAUGUGUUCCCUGGAUAGAGAAGGACUGGUCCUUAGUCAAGGGUAUAAGAGUAGAUGCUAGCAGCAACAAGCAAGCUCUUAAAACAUAUAUUUUUAAUUCUGUUGUUUUAUUUUAAAUAAAUGUCGAAUACCAAGGCAGUAGUGUAAUUAGCUCCUUCGGUAAU
RNAcentral lists this small nuclear RNA (269 nucleotides) under Mus pahari (shrew mouse). RNAcentral's name for it is "sRNA (MGP_PahariEiJ_G0007986.1)". It matches the Rfam family "7SK RNA". From Rfam's summary of the family: 7SK was discovered as an abundant small nuclear RNA in the mid-70s but a possible function has only recently been suggested. The record is from RNAcentral. Lineage: Eukaryota; Metazoa; Chordata; Mammalia; Rodentia; Muridae.